Sander lucioperca (pikeperch) is the source of this 632-nucleotide long non-coding RNA. RefSeq lists it as uncharacterized. NCBI's taxonomy places the organism in Eukaryota, Metazoa, Chordata, Actinopteri, Perciformes, Percidae. The record is from RefSeq and is a predicted model, not a curated record. The transcript has 3 exons.
ACUAGCUUGAAGCGAUGCAGAGACAUCGAAGAAUAUGUUAAGUGAUUUAUGGAUUCAUCAUUAUGGAUUUAUUGUACAAAGACACUGUAGUUCCAGGCUGGAUGAAGAAACUUUUAAAAGGUUUGCAUGGAAUUGCGUGGAAGACCUCGGUGAAAUGGCGCAUUUCUCUUCUAAUAAAAAAAGAUGUCACUGAACAGCUUCCGCUUCUUGGACUCGCCCGUCUGUAUUUCCUGCCAGUGAGCUCUUCUGUGGAUGAAGUGGGAGAGGCCAAAUUUGGCCCACACAUGGCGAGCAAACUGAUCCGACCUCAGCUGGCUUUCACUCAGCACUGGAAGCACCCGACUACCCAACCUGGAGCAGGCCAUUAGAACAUACUGGCCCUGGGAGGACAAAAUAGUCAACAUGGAGAGUGAUUAGAUAAUGUCCCUGUGUAGUCAAUAAUGUUUCACUUCAAACAGAAAUGUUAAUUUCUUCAGGUCAGAAAUAAGAAUAUGAAAUAAAAACGUAUUCAUAUGCCGGUAGUUUCUAGUUUUUUUUUUUUGGUACCAAACAUCUAUUCUGGUGUAUGUUAAUGGAAACAUGUUUAGAUGAGUGGAGAUUUUCUGGUGAAAUACUGUAUGCUUUUAAUACUU